GACGAACGCUGGCGGCGUGCUUAACACAUGCAAGUCGAGCGGUAAGGCCCUUUCGGGGGGUACACGAGCGGCGAACGGGUGAGUAACACGUGGGUGACCUGCCCUCAGCUCUGGGAUAAGCCUGGGAAACCGGGUCUAAUACUGGAUAUGACUCCAUGACGCAUGUUGGUGGGGUGGAAAGCCUUGUGCGGCUGAGGAUGGGGCCCGCGGCCUAUCAGCUUGUUGGUGGGGUGANGGCCUACCAAGGCGACGACGGGUAGCCGGCCUGAGAGGGCGACCGGCCACACUGGGACUGAGACACGGCCCAGACUCCUACGGGAGGCAGCAGU
RNAcentral lists this ribosomal RNA (329 nucleotides) under uncultured bacterium. RNAcentral's name for it is "bacterial SSU rRNA". It matches the Rfam family "Bacterial small subunit ribosomal RNA", at positions 28 to 355 of the family's 1533-position model. The record is from RNAcentral.